UCGAAAAUUUUGACCCAUACAAUGUAUUACUACAAAUAUACCUGUGCUACUUAAGAUUGGUUCUGUGCUCCAGGGUCACAUAUUUAAAACUCUUAUUUGAGUCCUCCAUUUGAACCCUUCAAAUAUGAUCAUGCCAGCCACUGCUGCCCUCUGCUGUUCAGAUAUAAAAGAUGCAGUUUCUGUAUUUUGAUACACAUGUAUCAUCACAUUUUUCUUCUGCAAGCUACUAUCAGUGGCCCGGCACACGCAGGCAACGGAUGCUUCCUUUGGAUGACUGAGAGUGUCUGAGUGAUACAUCACUGACUUUUUAGGAAAGAUGAGUUUGAAGUAGAAGGCAUGGUGGAGAGUGAUGACAUCAGUGCCCUAAUUGGAGAAAUGGAGACGGCCGUUAAUUAUUUUCAGAAGGAUUGGUAUCAAUAAUCUGAAGUUGGACCUUCACAAGCUGAUAUCUGGACCCGAAUGCUGCCAUCACAACUGAUGCCGUCCGUCCAGAAGGGAGUGUCUGCUAAAUACUGCACCAUAUUCCCUAGUUUCCAGAUCAAUGUAAGCACAGUGCAGUCUGGCAUGAUACUGAAAAUAUGUAUUUUUUAUAUGACAGGUCAUCUCUGAUGCUGCAUUGCAUAUGAAUGUGGCCAUUUGUAUUGAUCCUUGGUCAAGAU
Long non-coding RNA from Cyprinus carpio (common carp), 659 nucleotides. RefSeq lists it as uncharacterized. The record is from RefSeq and is a predicted model, not a curated record. NCBI's taxonomy places the organism in Eukaryota, Metazoa, Chordata, Actinopteri, Cypriniformes, Cyprinidae. The transcript has 3 exons.